GGCGCACGGGUGAGUAACGCGUGGGGACCUACCUCUUAGUGGGGGAUAACGGUUGGAAACGACCGCUAAUACCGCAUACGCCCUUCGGGGGAAAGAUUUAUCGCUAAGAGAUGGACCCGCGUUGGAUUAGAUAGUUGGUGAGGUAACGGCUCACCAAGUCAGCGAUCCAUAGCUGGUUUGAGAGGAUGAUCAGCCACACUGGGACUGAGACACGGCCCAGACUCCUACGGGAGGCAGCAGUGGGGAAUAUUGGACAAUGGGCGGAAGCCUGAUCCAGCCAUGCCGCGUGAGUGAAGAAGGCCUUCGGGUUGUAAAGCUCUUUCAGAUGCGAAGAUGAUGACGGUAACAUCAGAAGAAGCCCCGGCUAAUUUCGUGCCAGCAGCCGCGGUAAUACGAAAGGGGCAAGCGUUGUUCGGAUUUACUGGGCGUAAAGGGCACGCAGGCGGUCUUGCCAGUCAGGGGUGAAAGCCCGGGGCUCAACCCCGGAACUGCCUCUGAUACUGCAGGACUAGAGACUAGGAGAGGGUGGUGGAAUUCCCAGUGUAGAGGUGAAAUUCGUAGAUAUUGGGAGGAACACCAGAGGCGAAGGCGGC
This 593-nucleotide ribosomal RNA is filed under the name uncultured bacterium. RNAcentral's name for it is "bacterial SSU rRNA". It matches the Rfam family "Bacterial small subunit ribosomal RNA", at positions 97 to 725 of the family's 1533-position model. The record is from RNAcentral.